This is a non-coding RNA of Rattus norvegicus (Norway rat), 70 nucleotides long. Lineage: Eukaryota; Metazoa; Chordata; Mammalia; Rodentia; Muridae. The record is from Rfam.
GGGGAUUUGGCUCAGUGGUAGAGCGCUUGCCUAGGAAGCGCAAGGUCCUGGGUUCAAUUCCCCAGCCCCG